CCAAUAGCGUAUAUUAAAGUUGUUGCAGUUAAAAAGCUCGUAGUUGGAUUUGUGGCGUACGACGGGCUCCGGGCACUUGUUGUCUGAGUAGCUUGUCGUUGCCAUCCUUGGGUGGAACCUGUGUGGCAUUAGGUUGUCGUGCAGGGGAUGCCCAUCUUUUACUGUGAAAAAAUUAGAGUGUUCAAAGCAGGCUUAUGCCGUUGAAUAUAUUAGCAUGGAAUAAUAAGAUAGGACUUUGUCGCUAUUUUGUUGGUUUGCGCGAUAAGGUAAUGAUUAAUAGGGACAGUUGGGGGUAUUCGUAUUCCAUUGUCAGAGGUGAAAUUCUUGGAUUUUUGGAAGACGAACUACUGCGAAAGCAUUUACCAAGGAUGUUUUCAUUAA
This 381-nucleotide ribosomal RNA is filed under the name uncultured eukaryote. Its description in RNAcentral is "partial 18S ribosomal RNA". It matches the Rfam family "Eukaryotic small subunit ribosomal RNA", at positions 591 to 976 of the family's 1831-position model. The record is from RNAcentral.